This 412-nucleotide ribosomal RNA is filed under the name Hamataliwa sp. SP20. RNAcentral's name for it is "partial 16S ribosomal RNA". The record is from RNAcentral. Lineage: Eukaryota; Metazoa; Arthropoda; Arachnida; Araneae; Oxyopidae.
UUCUAUUAGAAUAAAUUAAUAGUAAAAUCUGCUCAAUGAUAAAAUUUAAUAGCCGCAAUUGUGCUAAGGUAGCAUAAUAAUUUGUCUUUUAAUUAAAGACUAGAACAAAAGAUUUAACAUUUAUAUUAUUUCUUUAAUUUAUUUAUUUAAAUUAUCUUAAAAAUAAAAAGAUUUUUAUAAAAUAGAAAGACGACAAGACCCUAUUGAAUUUCACUUAAGUUUAACUGGGGAAGUAAAUCAAUUAAUAUUUUAAUUUCAAUACUAAUCAAAAUGAUCUAAUAUAAUUAUUCAAAUGAACAAAUUACCAUAGGGAUAACAGCGUAAUAAAAUUUUUAAGAUCUUAUUUUAAAUAAAGAUUGCGACCUCGAUGUUGAUUAAUAUUCCUAUUUUUACGCAAUAGUAAAUUAAGAAA